Molecule: long non-coding RNA, 4669 nt
Filed under: Bemisia tabaci
Lineage: Eukaryota; Metazoa; Arthropoda; Insecta; Hemiptera; Aleyrodidae
Description: lncRNA ENSSSA2NGG007508
Source: RNAcentral
GGUUCGGUUUAUCGUUUGCUUCACAGCAGUAGAACAUUACCUGGGACAAAAAUUUUAUGAUUUAUGUAGGAGAGGCUGAGUAUGAGAAAAUUCCUAACAAUUUCACUACUCAUCGCCAUUUUACACUUAUAAGAAUCAAAAGUUUUUUUUAAAAAAAAAACCUGUUCCCUCAGAUUACUCAAUUGACGUUUGAGGUUACGUUUAUAUGUUGAACCAAUCGAUAUCAAUACAAUCGCACCUGUUUGAUGUGUCGAAUACGAUCCAUACCUUGAUUUUCUGUUUUUUGCCUCCCUUUUUUGCAGAGACAAGGUUAAAACCUGCUCUUGAACGAAACUAUUUUUAACGACAGCAAAAACUCUUGGUACGUGUGAAAGCACUCGGCUCUGCUUGCGCCACACGCGGAGGGAAAAAGUAAAUAACUAAAAAUUCGCGUAGGAUCAAAAGGAUAAAAAUUUCAUUUUCCAACAACUUGAACGUGCAAGCUUGUUCCCGUUGAUUAGUGUUGAGGUUGUUCUUGAUUGGUGCGCAUGUUGAAGUUCCCUGCGUUCGGACCGCCAGGAGAAUAUUCAGACCUACAUGAAACCGACAUGUCAAUGGAGACAAUUGGCCCUGAUCCUGGUGGUCCUGUCAGCGCUGAUCCCGCAAGGCCUAGGACGUGGGAAUGGAUGGCCAUUUAUGAGUCUGAGAAACUCGAGGCUGAAUAUUCAAAGGGAACGCUCCUGUUAACGGGACACGCACGGCUCAUGCUGGCCCUUGACGAGAAUACACUCGUGCGGAUGCCUUGGAGGCAUCAGAGCAAUCAGAAGUACACGUGGCUCAUCAAAAUCACACUUCCCGUGCCCGAUACCUCACAAAGCCGCGCCCAGAGGUUCGCUUGUAUUACUUCUAAUAAGGGGCCAUUGAAGUAUUACCUAAUGCACUCAGGGGGGGAGGGGUGGCUAGCCAGCGUUACAGUGCGUUACAAGGGGAAGGGGGGGGGGGGGGGUCAAGCCCAAAAUUGCAUAACACAUCCGAGCCGAGGAAAAAACGUUGAAAAAGACGGGCAAUGGUUGACUUACUCAAAAUUGGCCAAGUGAAAUUUCCGGUAAAAUUAUGAAAAACAUAAAUCUAAUUAUUAUCAUGACGUGUAUUUUCACACCUUUGUUGAUCUCUUCCCAUCGUAUUUCAGCGAAAAAUCAACCUCCCCCCCUCCAAAAAAAACCGGCUUUAUUUUCCAUGUUUUUAUCUCAGCGUUUUCUUGAUUUUUUUUUUAAAUGGGGAAGGGUCAGGCCAGCGUUACGUAAUGGAAGGGGAGGGGGUGUAAGGCUACGUUACAAAAAGGGAGAGGGGUCAAAAAUUCGGAAAAAGGCGUUACGUAAAACUUGAACGGCCCCUAAUUGCCCAACGGUAAAGGUGCAAAUUAAGCAUUACGAUGUAUAUUUUCUUUUCGAAACUGCAGUACUUAGUUUUUUGGGACAAACAUGAUAGACUGUAACCUCUAACCAAGAUUUGGCCGAGCUCCAGAAUCCCUUUUUAACGCCUUUGAUGAAUAAAUUCAAAUUCCCGCUCAUAGAAAAACCAAUAUCCACUAUAUGGUAUGAAAAUGUAGCAAUCUCAAUCUUAGGGCUUCAUUUCAGCGCACGUUAUAUAGUAUUUUUAACCACACAAGUUUUAGUGGCCAGUUCGAUACCUCCCUAAACCCGCCCUCAAAAUGCGUUUUCCCUUUUUUGGAGGUCAAAAAUGAAAAAAACGCUAAAAAUUAUCCCCAUAAACCAAUUUUCAUCAAUAUUGGUUGAUAAACAUUGUCACAGUGUUAGGAAGACGAUUUUUUUCCUCUAACUUCGGUGGGGCGUGGCCCCCCAGGGAAAGCGUUUUUGGAAAAACAAGUUAUACCCAAAAACGUCUUCUUUUCACCCCAAGAAUCGACUCCUUCAAUAUUCGUACUUAAUCCUGGGACACCAUGUAUACCCAUGAAGUCCACUAACGAAUCUCAUUUGUCAAAAUUAGGAUAGAACUGCCUGGAUUUGAUCCAGACAGGGCGGUGGCACUGGCGAAACUCCUGCUAGGGAAGAAACUCCCGUACGAAAAAAACCGAAAGACUGAGAAAGAUUGGAUCAAUUACAUUUGCUGCAGUAGACCUCCGAACCCCCAGUGCUGCCCUUGGUGUCUGCAGAACCGCCCACUUACCAGCGCCGAAAUCAAAGAUGGAUUCUACUUCAAGGACCUCAGUGGCAACCUUUCAAGGGCCAGCGAACUCGCGCCACUCCCUAAGGAUAUAGAAUGGGAAUGGAGUAAGGAAAACUGGUCCAAUGAAUUCACCUUUCCUCCUGAUGAGAUAAGUGAUAUUUAAUUUUAGAUUAGUAGGCUCAUGGUAGCGACAAGCACACCUUUAUCCAACUGAGAAUGGCUGAAUUUUUAGCCGAAACGUUUCGGUUUUGUUCGAGAAAUUUCAGCCUUAUUAAAAAAAAUAAAUUUAAAUUGUUUAAAUUGUUUUUUAAAUUGUUCCUAAUUGUAUAUCUUGUCACGGGCUGCGGAGCGUCCAUCAUAUCUCACACCCUUAAAGCUUUGUAGCUGGUGCUCGGAUCCUCACCCGAAAAGUUUAGUGCAACGAAAAUAUUGUAAUAAAAUUCAAUUGCCUGCAAUUCAAAUUCAAUAAUGCAUCAAAUUAAAUCCAAUGCAAUGCAAUACAAUUAAAGUGCAAAAUAUUGUAGGUAAAUGUAUAAUGUGUGUAUAUUUUAACGUCAUUUAGUCAAGGAAUGCCGAAUUUAGACGAUCAAUGGCAUGAGUCCCACUUGAAGAGAAGAUAGGCAAUUUGCAAUGCAGAAAAAAAUCGCAAUUUAGAUCAAUGUGGAGAACCCCUUCCAUUAGUAAAUAGGCAACACACAUAACGUUCCGAUGAAAUGUAUUGGGGUUGCUUGAGCAAUGCUGGCUGUCGAGCUUCAAUCAAACUGUCAAAAGCCCAAUAACUAGGCCGAAUUUUUGGGAAUUUCACCGAGUUUAAUUGACAGGGAACGAGAAAUCACCUCCUGUUACUUAACUUUCCGGAGUAUGGAUGUUACCGAGAUUUCACCGUGUUGGUCAGUGCAGAACUGAGGUGAAAUAGAAUAAUGUACAUAUAAUCGGUCGGUUUCAUUUUUCUCUGGUCACGUACUUUUCUUGGUGCCUUUCUUGGGCCGGAUAAUCUACACCUACAAGAAAUAUCGUUAUACCAUGAACUAAUUUUUCUGCGUUACUGUUCCAUCUAUCUCCUAGGUGUUGGACGUCCAUCCGAUUAUCCAGCCGAAAAAACUAACAUUUUCACAAAAGAACUGGAAGCAGUGCAAUAUUGCCUAGAUUCUACAAAUCCUUUUAUACUGCAAAAAAAUCUACGGAUGUAGACAUUUGCUAUUUAUGUCCACAAAUAAACUUGAUUAUUUUGAAAAUUAUCUUGAUUAGCUUUUAACCCUCAGCUUAAUUUUUUGGUUUGCUUUCAGAUGCAUUUUUUCGGGUUUGGAUGUUGAGAGUGAGUUAUUAUAUCAUUUUUUGCACAUCUCGCUGCUUCCAAAUUUUUUAAUUUGCUUCCCAAGGUGGAGGAUAUUAUGAAACACCGCAUCAAUAGAGGGAGGGGUUGUUGUUGUUGUUUUUUUUUUUAAAGUUUCAAAUCGAUACGUGAAUCGCGAAGGAAGAAAUAGUGGUAGAGCGUGGCCCAUGGCCUCGUCAACCUUAAGAGAUUGAGAGGCUGUCAAUCCUUGUCAAAGGAUAGCGCAACACCUGCACCUUUUAUUUUCAGAAUUCCGAAAAGUUUUCAUGAUGCAUUAUUCAGUUCAGUCAUUUACCGUCAGUUGAGAGAUGCUGCGAAAUCCUUCCGCAAAAGUUGUAAAUUUAGUUUCUAGACGUAUCCGAUAAAGCCUUAAAAUGAUGCUAAACAACGCACUAAAAACAAGCACAUAAUUAAUUACCUCCUCCCCGAUACAUAUUAAUAGUUUUUAUUUUAAAUUUGUUAUCAUAUUUAUUUUCUUUUGUUCUAAAAGAAUUUAGUAUAAAAUCGAAUUUGCUGAUUGCGAGAUGAAAAAAACCCGUAAAGUUUAAUGAACAAAUAACACAAAUGGCAUAUAUUGAUGUUACGUUGCAAAUGAAAAUGUAUUGUUUCAAAUUAAAUAAAACACGUUUAAGUUUAAAUGUAUAUAUUUGCAGUCUUUAGAAUUGAGAAAAACUUUGGAAAUAUUCUGUAUUGUACUUCAAAUUGAAAAUAAGCACAUUUUCAUGUUCACAUUUUAAUUGUUUAUUUACUUUUCCAUAUUUUACCACGUUAAGGCAUCUCUUGGUUUUUGUAAACAAGCUGACUGAAAUAUUAAAAAAAAAUUAAACACAACAUUGGGAGCAACUCAUUUAGUUCGGAAACUCGAUUGGGAAUAAAUACAUUUUAAUUUCCAGCGAUACUAUUUGAUUUAUUUACUUGUGGUGAUGAAUCGAAUCGUGUAUUUUAGCAUUAAUUCUGACAGCAGUAACAAAUAAAGUGACAGUAAAUAAUUCUCCGACCUAAAUUUCUGCUCCCAGGAGCAGUAAUAUAAGCUGCAAAAGCAUUUCCGGAUUUCACUACUGUAAAACCAUAACAAGGUGACAUCGAUCGUCCACUUGCUGCGAUAAUAUGUUUUUCAAUUAACUUUCGGACGUGAGUUCUAACUCAGCAUAUGCCAGAAACACGUGAGUC